UAAACAUUGAUACAUUAUUACAUUUUCAAUCCGCCCGGGUACUACAAGCACCAGCUUAAAACCCAAAGGACUUGGCGGUGCUUAAGAUCCCCCUAGAGGAGCCUGUUCUAGAACCGAUAAUCCACGUUUAACCUCACCCUCCCUUGUUUUCCCCGUCUAUAUACCGCCGUCGUCAGCUUACCCUGUGAAGGUCUAACAGUGAGCAAAAAUGGCACAGCCCAGAACGUCAGGUCGAGGUGUAGCGCAUGAGAGGGGAAGAAAUUGGCUACAUUCUCUAAAAAUAGAAGCAUACGGACAAUAUAUUGAAACAUAUAUUUUAAGGAGGAUUUAGUAGUAAGUAGAAAUUAGUAUAUUCUACUGAAUUCGGCCCUAAAGCACGC
RNAcentral lists this ribosomal RNA (380 nucleotides) under Betta hipposideros. Its description in RNAcentral is "partial 12S ribosomal RNA". It matches the Rfam family "Bacterial small subunit ribosomal RNA", at positions 801 to 1384 of the family's 1533-position model. Lineage: Eukaryota; Metazoa; Chordata; Actinopteri; Anabantiformes; Osphronemidae. The record is from RNAcentral.